This 498-nucleotide ribosomal RNA is filed under the name uncultured bacterium. Its description in RNAcentral is "partial 16S ribosomal RNA". It matches the Rfam family "Bacterial small subunit ribosomal RNA", at positions 30 to 523 of the family's 1533-position model. The record is from RNAcentral.
AUUGAACGCUGGCGGCAUGCUUUACACAUGCAAGUCGAACGGUAACAGGCCGCAAGGUGCUGACGAGUGGCGAACGGGUGAGUAAUGCAUCGGAACGUGCCCAGUCGUGGGGGAUAACGCAGCGAAAGCUGUGCUAAUACCGCAUACGAUCUAUGGAUGAAAGCGGGGGACCGUAAGGCCUCGCGCGAUUGGAGCGGCCGAUGUCAGAUUAGCUAGUUGGUGGGGUAAAGGCCCACCAAGGCGACGAUCUGUAGCUGGUCUGAGAGGACGACCAGCCACACUGGGACUGAGACACGGCCCAGACUCCUACGGGAGGCAGCAGUGGGGAAUUUUGGACAAUGGGCGCAAGCCUGAUCCAGCAAUGCCGCGUGCAGGAAGAAGGCCUUCGGGUUGUAAACUGCUUUUGUACGGAACAAAACGGUCUGGGUUAAUACCCUGGGCUAAUGACGGUACCGUAAGAAUAAGCACCGGCUAACUACGUGCCAGCCGCCGCCGUAA